Molecule: ribosomal RNA, 1461 nt
Filed under: uncultured Bordetella sp.
Lineage: Bacteria; Pseudomonadati; Pseudomonadota; Betaproteobacteria; Burkholderiales; Alcaligenaceae
Description: partial 16S-23S ribosomal RNA intergenic spacer
Rfam family: Bacterial small subunit ribosomal RNA
Source: RNAcentral
AGUUCGAUCAUGGCUCAGGAUUGAACGCCGGCGGGAUGCUUUACACAUGCAAGUCGAACGGCAGCACGGACUUCGGUCUGGUGGCGAGUGGCGAACGGGUGAGUAAUGUAUCGAACGCCUUUAGUAGCGGGGAUAACUACGUGCAGCGUAGCUAAUGCAUAUUGCCCUUCGGGGGAAAGCGGGGGACCUUUCGCCUCGCACUAUUAGAGCGGUCAGAUACCUGGAUUAGCUAGUUGCAAGUAACGGCUCACCAAGGCGACGAUCCGUAGCUGGUUUGAGAGGACGACCAGCCACACUGACCGAGACACGGCCCAGACUUACGGAGGCAGCAGUGGGGAAUUUUGGACAAUGGGGAAACUCUGAUCCAGCCAUCCCGCGUGUGCGAUGAAGGCCUUCGGGUUGUAAAGCACUUUUAAGUAUGGAAAGAAACGCACGGGAUAAUACCCCGUGCAACUGACGGUACCUGCAGAAUAAGCACCGGCUAACUACGUGCCAGCAGCCGCGGUAAUACGUAGGGUGCGCGUUAAUCGGAAUUACCGGGCGUAAAGCGUGCGCAGGCGGUUCGGAAAGAAAGAUGUGAAAUCCCAGAGCCUAACUUUGGAACCGCAUUUAACUACCGAGCUAGAGGCAUCAGAGGUGGAAUCCCGCGUGUAGCAGGAAUGCGUAGAUAUGCGGAGGAACACCGAUGGCGAAGGCAUUCCUGGGAGAACACUGACGCUCAUGCACGAAAGCAUGGGAGCAACAGGAUUAGAUACCCUGGUAGUCCACGCCCUAAACGAUGUCAACUAGCUGUUGGGGCCUUCGGGCCUGGUAGUGCAGCUAACGCGUGAAGUUGACCGCCUGGGGAGUACGGUCGCAAGAUUAAAAACUCAAAGGAAUUGACGGAUCCGCACAAGCGGUGGAUGAUGUGGAUUAAUUCGAUGCAACGCGAAAACCUUACCUACCCUUGACAUGUCUGAAUCCCGAAGAGAUUUGGGAGUGCUCGCAAGAGAACCGGAACACAGGUGCUGCAUGGCUGUCGUCAGCUGUGUCGUGAGAUGUUGGGUUAAGUCCCGCAACGAGCGCAACCCUUGUCAUUAGUUGCUACGAAAGGGCACUCUAAUGAGACUGCCGGUGACAAACCGGAGGAAGGUGGGGAUGACGUCAAGUCCUCAUGGCCCUUAUGGGUAGGGCUUCACACGUCAUACAAUGGUCGGGACAGAGGGUCGCCAACCCGCGAGGGGGAGCCAAUCCCAGAAACCCGAUCGGGAACUGGAUCAGUGUCUGCAACUCUCGACUGCGUGAAGUCGGAAUCGCUAGUAAUCGGUGUGGAUCAGCAUGUCGCGGUGAAUACGUUCCCGGGUCUUGUACACACCGCCCGUCACACCAUGGGAGUGGGUUUUACCAGAAGUAGUUAGCCUAACCGCAAGGAGGGCGAUUACCACGGUAGGAUUCAUGACUGGGGUGGUCGUAACAAGGUAA